GCUGGUGUGGUGGAAUUGGCAGACACAAGGGACUUAAAAUCCCUCGAUAGCAAUAUUGUACCGGUUCGAGUCCGGUCACCAGCACCA
Molecule: transfer RNA, 87 nt
Filed under: Oscillospiraceae bacterium
Lineage: Bacteria; Bacillati; Bacillota; Clostridia; Eubacteriales; Oscillospiraceae
Description: tRNA-Leu
Rfam family: tRNA
About the family: Transfer RNA (tRNA) molecules are approximately 80 nucleotides in length.
Source: RNAcentral